RNAcentral lists this ribosomal RNA (251 nucleotides) under uncultured bacterium. RNAcentral describes it as "partial 16S ribosomal RNA". It matches the Rfam family "Bacterial small subunit ribosomal RNA", at positions 525 to 775 of the family's 1533-position model. The record is from RNAcentral.
ACGUAGGGGGCAAGCGUUAUCCGGAUUUACUGGGUGUAAAGGGAGUGUAGACGGCUGUGCAAGUCUGAAGUGAAAGGCAUGGGCUCAACCUGUGGACUGCUUUGGAAACUGUGCAGCUAGAGUGUCGGAGAGGUAAGUGGAAUUCCUAGUGUAGCGGUGAAAUGCGUAGAUAUUAGGAGGAACACCAGUGGCGAAGGCGGCUUACUGGACGAUGACUGACGUUGAGGCUCGAAAGCGUGGGGAGCAAACAG